GUAGACAUAGUUUAAACAAAACGUUAGAUUGUGAUUCUAAAAACGGAGGUUAGAGCCCUCUUGUCCACC
This 69-nucleotide transfer RNA is filed under the name Beryx splendens (splendid alfonsino). RNAcentral's name for it is "tRNA-His". It matches the Rfam family "tRNA". From Rfam's summary of the family: Transfer RNA (tRNA) molecules are approximately 80 nucleotides in length. Their secondary structure includes four short double-helical elements and three loops (D, anti-codon, and T loops). The record is from RNAcentral. Lineage: Eukaryota; Metazoa; Chordata; Actinopteri; Beryciformes; Berycidae.